UGAGCAAUCUGCCCUUCUCAUCGGAAUAAGCGUUGGAAACGACGUCUAAUGCCGAAUACGACCUCCUUUCGCAUGAUCGGAGGUGGAAAGCUCCGGCGGAGAAGGAUGAGCUCGCAGCCUAUCAGCUAGUUGGUGAGGUAACGGCUCACCAAGGCUUCGACGGGUAGCCGGCCUGAGAGGGCGACCGGCCACACUGGGACUGAGACACGGCCCAGACUCCUAGGAGG
Molecule: ribosomal RNA, 227 nt
Filed under: uncultured bacterium
Lineage: Bacteria
Description: partial 16S ribosomal RNA
Rfam family: Bacterial small subunit ribosomal RNA
Source: RNAcentral